UACGAAGGGGGCUAGCGUUGCUCGGAAUCACUGGGCGUAAAGCGCACGUAGGCGGACUCUUAAGUCAGGGGUGAAAUCCUGGAGCUCAACUCCAGAACUGCCCUUGAUACUGGGAGCCUUGAGUUCGGGAGAGGUGAGUGGAACUGCGAGUGUAGAGGUGAAAUUCGUAGAUAUUCGCAAGAACACCAGUGGCGAAGGCGGCUCACUGGCUCGGUACUGACGCUGAGGUGCGAAAGCGUGGGGAGCAAACAGG
Molecule: ribosomal RNA, 253 nt
Filed under: uncultured bacterium
Lineage: Bacteria
Description: partial 16S ribosomal RNA
Rfam family: Bacterial small subunit ribosomal RNA
Source: RNAcentral